RNAcentral lists this transfer RNA (70 nucleotides) under Camelus bactrianus (Bactrian camel). It matches the Rfam family "tRNA". Rfam says of the family: Transfer RNA (tRNA) molecules are approximately 80 nucleotides in length. Their secondary structure includes four short double-helical elements and three loops (D, anti-codon, and T loops). Further hydrogen bonds mediate the characteristic L-shaped molecular structure. tRNAs have two regions of fundamental functional importance: the anti-codon, which is responsible for specific mRNA codon recognition, and the 3' end, to which the tRNAs corresponding amino acid is attached (by aminoacyl-tRNA synthetases). tRNAs cope with the degeneracy of the genetic code in two manners: having more than one tRNA (with a specific anti-codon) for a particular amino acid; and 'wobble' base-pairing, i.e. permitting non-standard base-pairing at the 3rd anti-codon position. Lineage: Eukaryota; Metazoa; Chordata; Mammalia; Artiodactyla; Camelidae. The record is from Rfam by way of RNAcentral. RNAcentral also lists the same sequence under 1 other name.
GGGGGUAUAGCUCAGCAGCAGAGCACAUACUUCACGUGCAGAGUUCUGGGUUCAAUCCCCAGCACCUCCA